CCAACAGCCGGCGACCGGCGCACGGGUGAGUAACACGUAUGCAACCUGGCCGUCACAGGGGGAUAACCGGUAGAAAUGCCGCCUAAUACCCCAUGACACCCUUUAGGGGCAUCCCUGGGGGGGUCAAAGGGAGCGAUCCCGGUGAUGGAUGGGCAUGCGGCGCAUUAGCUAGUCGGCGGGGUAACGGCCCACCGAGGCGACGAUGCGUAGGGGUUCUGAGAGGAAGGUCCCCCACAUUGGAACUGAGACACGGUCCAAACUCCUACGGAAGGCAGCAG
Molecule: ribosomal RNA, 278 nt
Filed under: uncultured bacterium
Lineage: Bacteria
Description: partial 16S ribosomal RNA
Rfam family: Bacterial small subunit ribosomal RNA
Source: RNAcentral